AACGAACGCUGGCGGCAUGCCUAACACAUGCAAGUCGAACGAAGCCUUCGGGCUUAGUGGCGCACGGGUGCGUAACACGUGGGAAUCUGCCCUUCGGUUCGGAAUAACAGUUAGAAAUGACUGCUAAUACCGGAUGAUGACGAAAGUCCAAAGAUUUAUCGCCGAAGGAUGAGCCCGCGUAGGAUUAGGUAGUUGGUGGGGUAAUGGCCCACCAAGCCGACGAUCCUUAGCUGGUCUGAGAGGAUGAUCAGCCACACUGGGACUGAGACACGGCCCAGACUCCUACGGGAGGCAGCAGUGGGGAAUAUUGGACAAUGGGCGAAAGCCUGAUCCAGCAAUGCCGCGUGAGUGAUGAAGGCCUUAGGGUUGUAAAGCUCUUUUACCAGGGAUGAUAAUGACAGUACCUGGAGAAUAAGCUCCGGCUAACUCCGUG
RNAcentral lists this ribosomal RNA (433 nucleotides) under uncultured bacterium. RNAcentral's name for it is "bacterial SSU rRNA". It matches the Rfam family "Bacterial small subunit ribosomal RNA", at positions 29 to 507 of the family's 1533-position model. The record is from RNAcentral.